GGCAGCGGGGAGUAGCUUGCUACUCUGCCGGCGAGCGGCGGACGGGUGAGUAAAGUCUGGGGAUCUGGCUUAUGGAGGGGGAUAACCAUUGGAAACGGUGGCUAAUACCGCAUGAUGUCGCAAGACCAAAGUGGGGGACUUUAGGGCCUCACGCCAUAAGAUGAACCCAGAUGAGAUUAGCUAGUAGGUGCGGUAAUGGCGUACCUAGGCGACGAUCUCUAGCUGGUCUGAGAGGAUGACCAGCCACACUGGAACUGAGAGACGGUCCAGACUCCUACGGGAGGCAGCAGUGGGGAAUAUUGCACAAUGGGCGGAAGCCUGAUGCAGCCAUGCCGCGUGUGUGAAGAAGGCCUUAGGGUUGUAAAGCACUUUCAGCGGGGAGGAAGGCGGUAAGAGUAAUAUGCUUAUCGAUUGACGUUACCCGCAAAAGAAGCACCGGCUAACUCCGUGCCAGCAGCCGCGGUAAUACGGAGGGUGCGAGCGUUAAUCGGAAUAACUGGGCGUAAAGGGCAUGUAGGCGGUAAGUUAAGUCAGAUGUGAAAUCCCCGAGCUUAACUUGGGAACGGCAUUUGAGACUGGCUGGCUAGAGUUUUGUAGAGGGGGGUAGAAUUCCAGGUGUAGCGGUGAAAUGCGUAGAGAUCUGGAGGAAUACCGGUUGCGAAGGCGGCCCCCUGGAC
RNAcentral lists this ribosomal RNA (677 nucleotides) under Candidatus Regiella insecticola. RNAcentral's name for it is "bacterial SSU rRNA". It matches the Rfam family "Bacterial small subunit ribosomal RNA", at positions 65 to 734 of the family's 1533-position model. Lineage: Bacteria; Pseudomonadati; Pseudomonadota; Gammaproteobacteria; Enterobacterales; Enterobacteriaceae. The record is from RNAcentral.